Rhinolophus ferrumequinum (greater horseshoe bat) is the source of this 558-nucleotide long non-coding RNA. RefSeq lists it as uncharacterized. NCBI's taxonomy places the organism in Eukaryota, Metazoa, Chordata, Mammalia, Chiroptera, Rhinolophidae. The transcript is spliced from 3 exons. The record is from RefSeq and is a predicted model, not a curated record.
AGCAUGGAGCUCCAAACGUCUGAGCCACCAGGCUGGCCCGCUUUUGUUAUUUUUAAUAUUUGACAAAGUCCCUGCUUCUCCCAGCUUAGUACCUGGUUCCCCUGUGGUUUUAUUUAUACAUUUAUUCCUGGAAGUGCUGGUAUGCUCACUACCCAGUUCCAGGAAGAGGCAGAAAACUAUUGUUUCUCCUGGAUUAGUAGUAUUAGGUACAGGGUUAGUACCGUACAGGUAGGUUUCACUUAGUGUGAAAUGUCAGGUGAUUUGGGGUCCCCUUUUGCUCCUUUGAACUUUUAUAACAGCAGAAGUUUCUCCUAAUACCACACUGAUUCCCAAAUGAAUGCUCCUCAUCCAGGAACAAAUUUACCAGCUGGAAGCCCCCUCAGUACCCACCAGCAGCAUUCCAAGAUGAAGUACGUAAUAAAAAAUGAUGGACCUCCCUCAAAGAAGAAAGAAUUAUGCCAAAAUACUGCCUUCAGACUCAGACUGCAGCAUCGUUGUUUCCCUGGGUACCCAAUCUGUCAGCACUCCCUGCAAAUUUUGGACCUGCCAGUUUCCACA